RNAcentral lists this ribosomal RNA (641 nucleotides) under uncultured Clostridium sp. Its description in RNAcentral is "bacterial SSU rRNA". It matches the Rfam family "Bacterial small subunit ribosomal RNA", at positions 62 to 731 of the family's 1533-position model. Lineage: Bacteria; Bacillati; Bacillota; Clostridia; Eubacteriales; Clostridiaceae. The record is from RNAcentral.
UCGAGCGAUCUUCUUCGGAAGAGAGCGGCGGACGGGUGAGUAACGCGUGGGUAACCUGCCCUGUACACACGGAUAACAUACCGAAAGGUAUGCUAAUACGGGACAACAUAAGAAAUUCGCAUGUUUUUCUUAUCAAAGCUCCGGCGGUACAGGAUGGACCCGCGUCUGAUUAGCUAGUUGGUGAGGUAACGGCUCACCAAGGCGACGAUCAGUAGCCGACCUGAGAGGGUGAUCGGCCACAUUGGAACUGAGACACGGUCCAAACUCCUACGGGAGGCAGCAGUGGGGAAUAUUGCACAAUGGGCGAAAGCCUGAUGCAGCAACGCCGCGUGAGCGAUGAAGGCCUUCGGGUCGUAAAGCUCUGUCCUCAAGGAAGAUAAUGACGGUACUUGAGGAGGAAGCCCCGGCUAACUACGUGCCAGCAGCCGCGGUAAUACGUAGGGGGCUAGCGUUAUCCGGAUUUACUGGGCGUAAAGGGUGCGUAGGCGGUCUUUUAAGUCAGGAGUGAAAGGCUACGGCUCAACCGUAGUAAGCUCUUGAAACUGGAGGACUUGAGUGCAGGAGAGGAGAGUGGAAUUCCUAGUGUAGCGGUGAAAUGCGUAGAUAUUAGGAGGAACACCAGUAGCGAAGGCGGCUCUCUG